UACGUAUGGUGCAAGCGUUAUCCGGAUUUACUGGGUGUAAAGGGAGCGUAGACGGUUGUGUAAGUCUGAUGUGAAAGCCCGGGGCUCAACCCCGGGACUGCAUUGGAAACUAUGUAACUAGAGUGUCGGAGAGGUAAGCGGAAUUCCUAGUGUAGCGGUGAAAUGCGUAGAUAUUAGGAGGAACACCAGUGGCGAAGGCGGCUUACUGGACGAUCACUGACGUUGAGGCUCGAAAGCGUGGGGAGCAAACAGG
This 253-nucleotide ribosomal RNA is filed under the name [Clostridium] nexile DSM 1787. Its description in RNAcentral is "Tyzzerella nexilis DSM 1787 partial 16S ribosomal RNA". It matches the Rfam family "Bacterial small subunit ribosomal RNA", at positions 524 to 776 of the family's 1533-position model. The record is from RNAcentral. Lineage: Bacteria; Bacillati; Bacillota; Clostridia; Lachnospirales; Lachnospiraceae.